Triticum aestivum (bread wheat) is the source of this 120-nucleotide non-coding RNA. The record is from Rfam. Lineage: Eukaryota; Viridiplantae; Streptophyta; Magnoliopsida; Poales; Poaceae.
UAUGUACUCCCUCUGUCCGAAAAAACCUGUCCCUCAAAUAGAUGUAUCUGAGUUAGUGCUAGAUACAUCCAUUUGAAGGACAAGCUUGUGACAAGCUUUUUCGGACGGAGGGAGUACUUG